RNAcentral lists this ribosomal RNA (402 nucleotides) under uncultured bacterium. RNAcentral's name for it is "bacterial SSU rRNA". It matches the Rfam family "Bacterial small subunit ribosomal RNA", at positions 355 to 774 of the family's 1533-position model. The record is from RNAcentral.
UCGGGAAUUUUGGGCAAUGGGCGAAAGCCUGACCCAGCAACGCCGCGUGAGGGAUGAAGUAUUUCGGUAUGUAAACCUCGAAAGAAUGGGAAGAAUAAAUGACGGUACCAUUUAUAAGCUCCGGCUAACUACGUGCCAGCAGCCGCGGUAAUACGUAGGGAGCAAGCGUUGUUCGGAUUUACUGGGCGUAAAGGGCGCGUAGGCGGCGCGGUAAGUCACUUGUGAAAUCUCUGAGCUUAACUCAGAACGGCCAAGUGAUACUGCUGUGCUAGAGUGCGGAAGAGGCAACCGGAAUUCUUGGUGUAGCGGUUAAAUGCGUAGAUAUCAAGAGGAACACCUGAGGCGAAGGCGGGUUGCUGGGCCGACACUGACGCUGAUGCGCGAAAGCCAGGGGAGCAAACG